RNAcentral lists this ribosomal RNA (253 nucleotides) under uncultured bacterium. RNAcentral's name for it is "partial 16S ribosomal RNA". It matches the Rfam family "Bacterial small subunit ribosomal RNA", at positions 524 to 776 of the family's 1533-position model. The record is from RNAcentral.
GACGAACCGUGCGAACGUUGUUCGGAAUCACUGGGCUUAAAGGGCGCGUAGGCGGCCUCUUUGGUCGUGGGUGAAAUCCCCCAGCUUAACUGGGGAAGGGCCUACGAUACCGGGGGGCUCGAGGGAGGAAGGGGCGGUCGGAACUGUCGGAGGAGCGGUGAAAUGCGUUGAUAUCGACAGGAACGCCGGUGGCGAAAGCGGACCGCUGGCCCUCUUCUGACGCUGAGGCGCGAAAGCCAGGGGAGCGAACGGG